This 279-nucleotide ribosomal RNA is filed under the name uncultured bacterium. Its description in RNAcentral is "partial 16S ribosomal RNA". It matches the Rfam family "Bacterial small subunit ribosomal RNA", at positions 506 to 784 of the family's 1533-position model. The record is from RNAcentral.
UGCCAGCAGCCGCGGUAAUACGGGGGGGGCAAGCGUUGUCCGGAAUCACUGGGCGUAAAGGGCGUGUAGGCGGGAUGGUCAGUUAGAGGUGAAAACCUGCGGCUUAACCGUAGGCCUGCCUUUAAUACUGCCAUUCUUGAGUGCGAGAGGGGAAAGUGGAAUUCUUGGUGUAGCGGUGAAAUGCGUAGAUAUCAAGAAGAACACCGGUAGCGAAGGCUGCUUUCUGGCUCGUAACUGACGCUGAGGCGCGAAAGCGUGGGGAGCAAACAGGAUUAGAUA